Poecile atricapillus (Black-capped chickadee) is the source of this 2877-nucleotide long non-coding RNA. RefSeq lists it as uncharacterized. The record is from RefSeq and is a predicted model, not a curated record. Lineage: Eukaryota; Metazoa; Chordata; Aves; Passeriformes; Paridae. The transcript has 3 exons.
GGAUCAUAAAGCAACUUUCAAAUUACCAGCCAGUACUGCUGGGGCACAGAAGAAACCAUUGUGGUACAAAGUCCACUGAGCAUAGCAUCCAACAGUGAAGGUCGGACUUGGAGAGGGAAAACAGGACUUGCACGGUCUCAGUGGGUGGAAGCUGUUGGUGCUAGCUCAGCUCACAGGACACGAGUGGAGGAGGAGUGACGCUGGCUCCAGUUGCAGACACUUUUGUCCGAGUGUGUGGAGGCUGGCCUUUGGUCCAGACCUAUGAAGACAUAACAGCAAAGAAGCAAGGCACACGAGGUAGCUCAUGGUACUGUGCUGAUGUGAGUGUUUGACUUCUGGGCCAGACAGGCUUGCAUCUGUCCAGCUCAGUGCAUGGGCUCAUGCAGACAGGCAUGCACUAAAUCUGAUCCCAGGGCCAUUCCCCAACAGAACCACAAAAUAAACACAUGCGCAUUGACUGCUUUCUAGCUUAUACCGGAUGUUAAUGAGCAGAAUAAUUUGUAGUGGCUUGACUACUGCCAUUUUUUUUUAGCUUGUGGCUAAUGUAUGAAGGCAUUUCUGAUCAUAACUAUGCCAAUAACCUAUUGUCACGUCAGCUAUUGCUAACAGCAUUUACUCAAACAAAAUAUUGAUGGAGUUCUUUUUUAUUGCACAGAAAAAAAAACAAGUGGGCAUGCUUUCAAGAAUCACAGUCAGAGUACAGUAUGUCUGCAUUUAAUUAUGGGGUUGGAGCAAUUAACACUUGGGCUCUGCUUUGUUCUGUAUUCCAUGGCUGGUUGUUGAGAAAAUACAAUUCUCAAAAGCUUGCCAUUUAAAAUGUAUUUAGCCUAUUUUUAGUUAGCGUGAAGGGGUUUACCUACAGUUGCUUAGGGCUAUGAAGGUUGGGCUAAGACUCAGGAGACCCUGAUUCAAUCCAAAGUGCUCUUUGUGACAGUGGAAAAGUCUUAAUUUGUGCUGAUGUUGCACUGGCCUGCUGGAAAAUUAUUCCUUGCUGUAAGGCAGCGAUUCCAUUAGCUGUAAAGUGCUCAAAAUCUGGGCUACUUAAAAAAUAUCAGUGUUUUCUCACGUUUUAUUAUUAAUGUAUGACACUAAUAACAAUUUUCAUCAGGCAUUCACUGAUAACUAGAGACCCUUAAACCAAAACAUUAUACAAUGUGCAACCUAUAUAGCUUUGUGCCUUUUUCAUGAAUUCUCUUAAACAUCUAAGUCUGACCUAAUUCAAAAUUAUAUAUCACAAGUAUGUAUCUUAGAUUAAAACAUAUGUUUCAGACCCACUGAAAAAGUUACAAUACUAAAGAUCUCCUUUUUAUGAUUUCCCCUCACAACUUCACCUUGCAACACUUUCUUAAUUGCAAAACAAUUUUGGCUUGAACUUCUGUGUCUCAGUCUGCUGUACUGUGACCUAAAGAACAGUACAUACACAUGCAGAAAUUAACUGGUCCCUCAGGAGUACUCUUGUGCUGGAGAGUGAAGGAGGAGAAGGCAGAUUUGCAAAUAGCUAUAUUUUCUUUCACCAACUUAAUUGCUUCUGUUUGGAACUUUUAAAAUCUCACCUUACCAUGCAGUCAUUUUCAAAGUGAGCACAGCAUGACUGACCCCAAAAAAAAUCUGUUUGCUUUUUUAUUAUAAUUUUGGUUGUGAUAUUUUAUUAGUGGAGGCUGCAACACCUCAGAGGAGUAACACUCGGCUGGUUGUGGCACUUCUGGCAUUUCCUAGAUUAUACUCUGAUUAACUCUGCUAUAUUAAUAAAGACCUUUUAAUAUGCUUUUGUGAGAGUAAUUUCCUAGGGAUUUCAGGAAAGCAUAUGGAAAAACAAAUUGCAUCACAUGGCAUCACACUGACACUUCUGCGAGUCAUCAGAGUUGGACCUUUGGAUCUCUAGCGGGAGGCAUCACACCCUGAUCACAUUAAGGAUUACAGCAUCAGGAACCAGAGUUUUCAAAUUUUCACCUGAUCCUUUUCGUCAGCUCUCCAGAGCUUCCAUGCACCAGAGUGUGACCACAGCUGGCUCCUCUUGGACCCAAAAGGGACAGAGCUAAAAGGCAGCAGAGAAACAAACCUCUGUUGCCUUCUCUGAUUACAGCUGCAGAAUGAUUUUGAGAAAUUGCUAUUGAGAAAUACAUCAACAUAUUGUUGAUGCCUUUGGCUUAGUGAGUGAUGAUCUAAUUUCUGUUCAAUUGACCAGCAGCCAAUUCACAUUUGGAUCAAAGUUUGAAACACAGCUUGUUUCUUAUUAGGGUGAGCUGGUCAUUACAAAUGUGAAUCAUAACAACCUUUAGUAAGGGAUUAAUCCUGCAAAAUGAUGAACACUCUGAAGGAGGGCAGGUGCUCAGUGUACCACCAACCUUGUUCUUCACAUUACCAAGUCACACCAUUUCUAUGAAUCUGACCUGCCAAAUUAUUCAUGAAGCCCUGUUCUGUAAAUACAGACAUUCAUACAGACAAAUAUGUUGUACUGUUCGCCAAGGAAGGAAAAAUUAAUUAUACUCUAUGGUCCUCAUUCACACCUGCAUUAUGGAAGACUUAGGUCAAUCUAAACCAAAUUUAACUAAAACUGUGGGAGAUGGUCUUUCAAUGAUUUGUCUAUUUUACUCUGAUUUCUGUCACAGAUCACCAGAAUAAACCAAAUGCCCUGAGCAGUCAUAAAUAGAUCUAUCCUACUUUUGUCUAAAAAUAAAAAGCUGCUUUAACUUAAUCAGUAGUAGCAGUUGCAUGACACAAAUGAGAAGAUUACUGGAAUUAGUUUAGAUAAUAAAAAUGCUCUGUGUCCCUCAUUAAAAGUCUUAACAAGAGUUACUAAAAUUGAAAGGAACAGUUGAAAGAUCAGGGUCAACAUCUGUUUAAUUUUUAGCUAUUUUAAUUCUAGUUCAUGAUUAU